UAUUCGCUUCUGGGCCUGAGCAGCAGGUAGUUUACUCUGGGCACGCUUUUCAUCCAAACAUGAAAAUGCUGCCCCCUAUCCCAUACAGGUUUUAAGGUGAAUAUAAAAAAUCACAGAUAAUAACUAUUUGCAUUUUCACAGAAAAUAACCUGAACGUCACGACUUCUGCCGAAGUCGAUGCCUCUCCUUGUUCGGGCGGUGUUCGGAGGUCGACGUCGCCGGUCUUCUAGCCAUCGCCGAUCCAUUUUCCAUUUGUUUUGUCUCGUUUUCCCACACACAUGGUUCUCAUUUCCCUAAUUGUGUUGUGUAUUUAACCCUAUGUUUCCCCAUGUCUUUGUGUGGCAUUGUUUAUUCUGUUCCAUGUAUCUGCAUGUUAGACUGUUGCGCUGGGUUAUGUCAACCCGUAUUGUAUUUCGUUUUAGUUGUGCCGUGUGCUUUUGGUUCGCCUAAAUAAAAGUCUCUGUUUGCUACCCAAUAUUUGCUCUCCUGCACCUGAAUCCCUGACAGCCAUUUACGCAUACCUGACACUGAAGCUAGUUUUAGUUUCCCUAACACUUAUUUUGAUCUGUCUUCCUAGGGUUACCUCGGUGGAAGCCAACAAUCUUCUACAGUUGGACAGUCAACCACUGAAAGCCCUGACACCCUAUACUUCAGUGAAGCCCAAUAGACAAAGACCAUCGACUGUCCGAGCCCCCCAGGAGGUAUCCCAUCCACCAGAACCUGUGAGUUCAGAUCAGUCUGAUUGUCACUGCUCUGAGUUGGAGUGGGACCAGCUUGAGAUAGGCUAUACCUUCUAAAAGUGUUGAAAGGACCUAGAGGUUCUGCCUAACACCCAGACAUGGAUCCACCUGAUGUCCUCCUUUACCAAUGUUACGGAUACAAGUAUCCUGUGUGUGUUUCUUUUCUCUCCUUCUCCCCUCACAGGUGAAAAUCAUCACUCCCCAA
This is a long non-coding RNA of Oncorhynchus tshawytscha (Chinook salmon), 945 nucleotides long. RefSeq lists it as uncharacterized. Lineage: Eukaryota; Metazoa; Chordata; Actinopteri; Salmoniformes; Salmonidae. The transcript is spliced from 3 exons. The record is from RefSeq and is a predicted model, not a curated record.